This is a long non-coding RNA of Chroicocephalus ridibundus (black-headed gull), 1245 nucleotides long. RefSeq lists it as uncharacterized. The transcript is spliced from 3 exons. The record is from RefSeq and is a predicted model, not a curated record. NCBI's taxonomy places the organism in Eukaryota, Metazoa, Chordata, Aves, Charadriiformes, Laridae.
AAAUGAAGUGGCCGAGACGUGCUGUACCUGGUGGACCUCAGCAGGCGGGAGCAGAGGUACCCUCGUCCCUGCGCUGGGAUGCAGGGCUCGUGCUGGCGCAUUGACAUCGCCAGACCCCGCUGCCGUCCUCCAGGCUCAGGCCCAGAGGAAGAUGACUUGGGAAGAUUCCACUUUAGCCGGAUGCAGGGGCUCUUUCUGGUGUUGCUUCUGGAGCGUGUUCAUGGGAGACCCUGGAUCCAUCUGCCAUGGACCUUCUGCCAGCCGGUGCUGGCUGGAUGUUGACACCAACAUGACCCUCAUGGUGACCAAGGAGAUGGUGCAGCACUGGCCCUGAAGAGAGACCAGCCAUGAGCUCCUCUGCUCCCCAGGAGUUUCAUCCCCGAAUGGUGCCCGGGGUGGGCACGCGGAGGCUGGAGGCUCUCCGGGGAUUCCUGUGACCGCAGCUGAUGCAAAGCUGGCACAAUUUUUAAGGGAUUUCUGCUAGAGAUGAGCAAAAAGACGUGGGUUUUAGGGGUCGCUGAUCGCCUGGGGCUGCGAGUUACCAUCACCAGACCAGCUCUGCUCAUCUCCUUUCCCACCGCGGAGACAAUCGCUUUGGUUAGGCGGAAAGGGACGGCGUUCUCUCAACACAAAAAUGAGAUGCUAUUGAAGGAAACGACUGGGAAGAAACGUGGAAACGGUAAGCUGUAUUUUUCCAGAGAGCGGGCACACCGCGUCGGCGCCACGUGCUUCGUCUGCUGCUCCGUCCCCACCUCCCAAAUGGAGCUAUUCUCUUUCAGUGGUUAGAGAAAUAAUAAAGAAUAAUGAGAAUGAGGGAUUUCUAUGCAAAUAAGUUUGCAUCUACAUCCAAGAAUUUAAAGGGAAUGCAUCUGUCUUGAAUUCUACAUGAAUAUAUGAGAGACCUGGUAAGGUAGAAGAUCCAGUCAAGCAAACAGCGAUGCUAACUAUCAACCCCCAAAGUGUCUGAUGCUCAUGUUCUCGGUUACCGAUGAUCUGUUAAAAAUGACCUUUUUUGCCAAGAUUUAAUUUUCCACCUCAGCAUACUCCCUUGAAGAGCCUUGCAAAAUUUGUGCUGUGCCUAUAAGGAAGAUUCUUAUGAGAGUCAAGCCAGUUCCAAGCCGACAUAGAGACACUCAUCCACUAAAUAACCUAAGAAGAAAGUAAGUUGUUUUUUCCUUUUACCUGGAGUGAACAAGCACAUGCUCGAGUAUUUGACUCGAUCAAGGUGUGACUGAUUGCAGCAUC